RNAcentral lists this long non-coding RNA (1162 nucleotides) under Chloebia gouldiae (Gouldian finch). RNAcentral describes it as "Erythrura gouldiae (Gouldian finch) lncRNA (ENSEGOG00005010383.1)". The record is from RNAcentral. Lineage: Eukaryota; Metazoa; Chordata; Aves; Passeriformes; Passeridae.
UCCUCUCCGGGUGUCAUUCCCGGCUCCUCUCCGGGUGUCAUUCCCGGCUCCUCUCCCGGUGUCAUUCCCGGCUCCUCUCCGGGUGUCAUUCCCGGCUCCAUUCCCGGCUCCGCUCCCGGCUCCGCCGGCGGCCGCCGCGGCCAGCCCCGGGCCCGGCGCCUCCCGGGCUGGGCCGAGCCCUUCCCGUUCCCGGGGAGCCGCCGGGGGCUGCCCUCGCUCUUCUCCCAGGCGCUGCAAUAUCGCCACUAUCCCGACUAUCCCGACUAUCCCGGUGAUUAUCCCAGUGAUUACCCCGGUGAUUAUCCCGGUGAUUAUCCUGAUUAUCCCAGUGAUUAUCCCGAUUUUCCGGGCGAUCUGGGAAUGCCGGGAAUGAGCCGCGGCCCCUUCGGGCUGAGGAGGAAGGAGAGGAUGGGAGCCCUGCCCUGGAACGGCCUGAACCCGGGCCGGCGCCGGGGGCUCCGCGCUCGCUCCGGGGGGCGCUGGGAGCCCGAAGGGCCCCGCAAGCGGAAACGCUCCGGGAAUAACGACGGGAAUGCCGGGAAUGACACCGGGAAUGACACCGGAAACAACACCGGGAAUAACGCCGGGAACGCCGAUCCCAAAAUCCCCCGCAGCGACAGCGACUCCGAGCACGGAGAUGAAGGGGAAGGAGAGGAGAAAUCCUUGGAUGAGGCAGACAAAGGAGAUCCCGGAUUUGCUUCCCCAGGAGCCCCCAGGCCGCCUUUGCCAGGAGAAUUCCCGGAAUUCUGGGGGGAAUUUCCCAGAAUUCCGGGAUUUUCCAGUGUUUUCCUGGGAAUUUGUGGCCGGGAAGGGGGAAAAUCCCAAAAAUCCAAGGGUUUUUCCCAGGUUUUGGGGUGGAUUUUGGGGAAUUUGGGGUGGGAAUUCCGGAAAAUUCCAGUUCCUACCCCAAUGUUUGGGAUUUUUUCCUUCUUUUCCGGCGUUUUUUGGGCUUUUCCUGAUGAUUUUUGAGGGAAUUUUGGGGUUUUUGGGAGGAAUUCCUGAGGAAUUCUUUGGGUUUGGAUCCCAAAUGAUCCCAGGGAAGAAAAGCUGCUGGGAAUGGGAGAAAAAUGGGGAAAAACGGGGGAAAAAUUGGAGAAAAACAGGGAAAAAUGGGAAAAAAACAGGGAUAAAAUAAAGUGAGGGAAUAAAAUGGGAAAGAUCA